UGAUACUAUUUUUUUGGUUGUCGUGAGC
Molecule: small RNA, 28 nt
Filed under: Bombyx mori (domestic silkworm)
Lineage: Eukaryota; Metazoa; Arthropoda; Insecta; Lepidoptera; Bombycidae
Description: piRNA piR-bmo-2009905
Source: RNAcentral